Molecule: non-coding RNA, 584 nt
Filed under: Trichomonas vaginalis G3
Lineage: Eukaryota; Parabasalia; Trichomonadida; Trichomonadidae
Description: Eukaryotic small subunit ribosomal RNA
Rfam family: Eukaryotic small subunit ribosomal RNA
Source: Rfam by way of RNAcentral
UUUGAUCAACACGGGGAAACUACCAGGACCAGAUGUUUUUAUGACUGACAGGCUUCGGGUCUUUCAGGAUAUGUUUUUGGUGGUGCAUGGCCGUUGGUGGUGCGUGGGUUGACCUGUCUAGCGUGAUUUCAGCUAACGAGCGAGAUUAUCGCCAAUUAUUUACUUUGCCGAAGUCCUUCGGUUAAAGUUCUAAUUGGGACUCCCUGCGAUUUUAGCAGGUGGAAGAGGGUAGCAAUAACAGGUCCGUGAUGCCCUUUAGAUGCUCUGGGCUGCACGCGUGCUACAAUGUUAGGAUCAAUAGGACUGCGAGCCUGAGAGGGUGCGCUACUCUUAUAAUCCCUAACGUAGUUGGGAUUGACGUUUGUAAUCAGCGUCAUGAACCAGGAAUCCCUUGUAAAUGUGUGUCAACAACGCACGUUGAAUACGUCCCUGCCCUUUGUACACACCGCCCGUCGCUCCUACCGAUUGGAUGACUCGGUGAAAUCACCGGAUGCUUACGAGCAGAAAGUGAUUAAAUCACGUUAUCUAGAGGAAGGAGAAGUCGUAACAAGGUAACGGUAGGUGAACCUGCCGUUGGAUCAGUU